AGUGAACGCUGGCGGUAGGCCUAACACAUGCAAGUCGAACGGCAGCACAGUAAGAGCUUGCUCUUACGGGUGGCGAGUGGCGGACGGGUGAGGAAUACAUCGGAAUCUACUUUUUCGUGGGGGAUAACGUAGAGAAACUUACGCUAAUACCGCAUACGACCUACGGUUGAAAGCAGGGGAUCUUCGGACCUUGCGCGAUUGAAUGAGCCGCUGUCGGAUUAGCUAGUUGGCGGGGUAAAGGCCCACCAAGGCGACGAUCCGUAGCUGGUCUGAGAGGAUGAUCAGCCACACUGGAACUGAGACACGGUCCAGACUCCUACGGGAGGCAGCAGUGGGGAAUAUUGGACAAAGGGCGCAAGCAUGAUCCAGCCAUACCGCGUGGGUGAAGAAGGCCUUCGGGUUGUAAAGCCCUUUUGUUGGGAAAGAAAAGCAGCAGGUUAAUACCCCGCUGUUCUGACGGUACCCAAAGAAUAAGCACCGGCUAACUUCGUG
RNAcentral lists this ribosomal RNA (492 nucleotides) under uncultured bacterium. Its description in RNAcentral is "partial 16S ribosomal RNA". It matches the Rfam family "Bacterial small subunit ribosomal RNA", at positions 29 to 507 of the family's 1533-position model. The record is from RNAcentral.